Long non-coding RNA from Gossypium arboreum, 350 nucleotides. RefSeq lists it as uncharacterized. NCBI's taxonomy places the organism in Eukaryota, Viridiplantae, Streptophyta, Magnoliopsida, Malvales, Malvaceae. The record is from RefSeq and is a predicted model, not a curated record. The transcript is spliced from 3 exons.
GAAAGCAAACGAAACAGGGAAGAAACAGGGGAGAAAGAAAGAAAGAAAAAGAAAAAGGAAAAUUUGGGUUUCAAGGCUCAAAGUUUAAUUUGAAAUCUCGGCUAAGAAAGGACAAGACAAAGUCAACGGGAGUUAGCUCGAAAAUUACGGUUUAGUAAAGAUAGAACGUUGAAUCAGCAUCCCAGUUCGAUCCCGAAUUCAUUAAGGUAAAGUGUGUUAAUUAUUGGUAAUGGCAUGUACCUAGGAUGUUUUAUGAGAGUCAUUUAGGUUGUAGAUGUACUCAUGAAAUGAGUAAAUUAUGGUUGGCAAUGGUAUGUAGUAUAAAUUUUGAAAUUUACUAAAAAUUCGUA